Molecule: ribosomal RNA, 253 nt
Filed under: uncultured bacterium
Lineage: Bacteria
Description: partial 16S ribosomal RNA
Rfam family: Bacterial small subunit ribosomal RNA
Source: RNAcentral
UACGAAGGGGGCUAGCGUUGUUCGGAAUUACUGGGCGUAAAGGGCGCGUAGGCGGUGUGUCAAGUCAGGCGUGAAAGCCCCGGGCUCAACCUGGGAACAGCGCUUGAGACUGGCACGCUCGAGUUCGGGAGAGGAUGGUGGAAUUCCCAGUGUAGAGGUGAAAUUCGUAGAUAUUGGGAAGAACACCGAUGGCAAAGGCAGCCAUCUGGACCGACACUGACGCUGAGGCGCGAAAGCGUGGGGAGCAAACAGG